This 377-nucleotide long non-coding RNA is filed under the name Pan troglodytes (chimpanzee). Its description in RNAcentral is "long non-coding RNA NONPTRT015293". Lineage: Eukaryota; Metazoa; Chordata; Mammalia; Primates; Hominidae. The record is from RNAcentral.
CCUGCUCGCUCUCCUCUCGCCAGAGGGCGCUGCCGAGGUGCCUUGUUGCCCCCGACCCUCUACUGCCCCGUCCGCAGAGGCCCACGGUCUAGGUUGUGGUGAUUGUUUUGGUUUGGGUGUUUUUUAGGGGGAUAAGGGGGCUGGGAAUAGAUCCUCCCUGUGGAGUUGGCGGGGAUUCCUCGUUUCUGCCCAAGCGCCGCGGAAUCCAGCACCACCGGCCUGGGACAGCGGCAGGACGCCGAGACAGGUGCCGGCCCCAGCCAUGUGUCCUCGGCACAUGCCAACUCCUUUUCACCUUCCACAAUGAGCUGAAGUACCCUGAGGCCCUCACCAGACGCAGAUGCCCAAUCUUGAACUUUCCAGCCACCAGAAUUGUG